Molecule: ribosomal RNA, 505 nt
Filed under: Periconia byssoides
Lineage: Eukaryota; Fungi; Ascomycota; Dothideomycetes; Pleosporales; Periconiaceae
Description: eukaryotic LSU rRNA
Rfam family: 5.8S ribosomal RNA (bases 152-305)
Source: RNAcentral
CGGCGGAGGGGUGCCACAGCCUGACUUUAUACCCACCCUUUGCCUAUGUGUACCCCUAUUGCUUCCCUCGGCGGGUUCGCCCGCCGACAGGAACCAACUAAACCCUUUGCAUUAUACAUUUAACACUUCCGAUACAAAACUAAAUUAUUACAACUUUUAACAAUGGAUCUCUUGGUUCUGGCAUCGAUGAAGAACGCAGCGAAAUGCGAUAAGUAGUGUGAAUUGCAGAAUUCAGUGAAUCAUCGAAUCUUUGAACGCACAUUGCGCCCCUCGGUAUUCCGUGGGGCAUGCCUGUUCGAGCGUCAUUUACACCCUCAAGCUCUGCUUGGUGUUGGGCGUCUGUCCCGCCUCCGUGCGCGGACUCGCCUCAAAGUCAUUGGCAGCGGUCUCGUCGGCUUCUCGCGCAGCACAUUUGCGCUUCUUGGAGCCCCGGCGGAUCAGCGUCCAGCAAGCAAUUUCAUGACUUGACCUCGGAUCAGGUAGGGAUACCCGCUGAACUUAAGCA